AGAGCAGAAGAGCUUCCAGGUAGACAAGGUGUCUGGGACUCUAAUUAGGCAGCACUCACACACCCAGAGCAUGGACACUGCCCAAGGUGGAGUGUGACCAACCAGAUGCAGCCAAGUCAUCUCUAGUCGCAGGCCAUGAGGUGCAGGUCCUUAAAAGGAGAAGGGGCCAUGUGCUCAGGAGUCACUCACAAGCUUGUACCUCCAGUGAAUGCCCUUUGCCGGGAUUGCCUGGCCAGUGGU
Molecule: long non-coding RNA, 240 nt
Organism: Gopherus flavomarginatus (Mexican gopher tortoise)
Lineage: Eukaryota; Metazoa; Chordata; Testudines; Testudinidae
Exons: 3
Source: RefSeq, a predicted model, not a curated record